This is a long non-coding RNA of Oryza brachyantha (malo sina), 1160 nucleotides long. RefSeq lists it as uncharacterized. Lineage: Eukaryota; Viridiplantae; Streptophyta; Magnoliopsida; Poales; Poaceae. The record is from RefSeq and is a predicted model, not a curated record. The transcript has 4 exons.
CACCCAGCCCAAAUAGCCUCUACGGCGGCAGGCGGCAGCCGAUGCGGCGGCCGGUCAUCGCCGGCGCCACGGGCCCCUUUCCUCUCUGGCGCAGGCGACGGGCAGGUCUGGACAGGCGGCAAGCUGGCUUCCGGGGAUAUGCUUCCUCCGUAUCAUGGCACGCUGAGCUCGCGGGACGACGCACCCCCCCUGCAUUCGCCUGUUUUGAGAUUGUUGCCACCCGCCGCUCGAUUGCUGUGCAGCGUCCACCCGAUUGCUCUUCCUCUUCGCGCCUUCGAUCCGCCGCUGAGGAUUUCAGAGAAGAAGGCCGAUUUGAUAGCUCCUAUGGUUUAACUAUUUGCUCUCUAAUUUGAAGUUUCCUGCCAGCUAGUAAUCUGGCUGGGUCAGAAGUGUUUGGACAUAGGAAAAUACCAAUUAUAGAGAGUAAGAACAUGACAAAAGGCUGUGUCACAGCGUUGUGUUAAGGUAGUUUACCUGGAAGUAUCCCAAAUCACGGCAUGCUUUGGCGAUAUCGUCAACCACCCCGGACCGCGCCAUGGGAUUAUCAAGGCUGAGGUGGCCAAGGUUGAUCACCGGCAUUGGCUGCGGGUGCAGCUCCUGCGACGGCAGCUGCUCUAGAGGGACAUUCUUUGUUGUGUCAGACAUUGCGGCCAAACCACGCGCAGCUGAGAAACAGAAGGCAUACAGGUGCAUAUUACACCUGAUGGAUCCUCACCUGGACAGUCCCCCCAAAAGAGAAGUCAAGUAAGGCAACGCAUUUCCAUCCAUGCAUGCACUUUGCUGCGUCGAAGUAGACCACAUAUAUUUUAUCUGUCCAGGAGAGGCCAAGCCACUGGCCGGGCAAAGGCUACCUACUCUACCUACGUACGUACUCCUACGUUGGGAGCUCGCCCAUGGUGCGUGUGCUGUUGCAACGCAUCUGCAUGCGCAAGUAGCAAUAGAGUAUGAUAACACUGAGCUCCACAGGCCAAGCACUCAAGCAGCCAUCUCUCCGUCCGCGGCGCGGGCAAGUUGUGCAACUGGCGGUGCUGGGGCUGGACCUUUCUUAAGACUCAAGGAAAUGAAGACGAUGGAGUGGAUAAUCACUCCCAUCUUUGUUUCGUACUCAUGCUUAUAAGUUAAAAUUUAAAUUUUCAGUCUUAAUUUUGAGUGUUUUUUUA